AUAACAUCCGGAAACGGGUGCUAAUACCGCAUAGUUUUCUUGAUCGCAUGAUUGAGAAGGAAAGACGGCCUUUGUGCUGUCGCUUAUGGAUGGACCCGCGGCGUAUUAGUUAGCUGGUGAGGUAAUGGCUCACCAAGACGAUGAUACGUAGCCGACCUGACGAGGGUGAUCGGCCACAUUGGGACUGAGACACGGCCCAAACUCCUACGGGAGGCAGCAGUAGGGAAUCUUCCGCAAUGGACGAAAGUCUGACGGAGCAACGCCGCGUGAGUGAAGAAAAGGUUUUUCGGAUCGUAAAACUCUGUUGUCAGAGAAGAACAAGUUGGAGAGUAACUGCUCCAGCCUUGACGGUAUCUGACCAGAAAGCCACGGCUAACUACGUGCCAGCAGCCGC
Molecule: ribosomal RNA, 394 nt
Filed under: uncultured bacterium
Lineage: Bacteria
Description: bacterial SSU rRNA
Rfam family: Bacterial small subunit ribosomal RNA
Source: RNAcentral